RNAcentral lists this ribosomal RNA (483 nucleotides) under uncultured bacterium. RNAcentral describes it as "bacterial SSU rRNA". It matches the Rfam family "Bacterial small subunit ribosomal RNA", at positions 28 to 501 of the family's 1533-position model. The record is from RNAcentral.
GAUGAACGCUAGCGGCAGGCUUAACACAUGCAAGUCGAGGGGUAACAGGAAAAAGCUUGCUUUUUUGCUGACGACCGGCGCACGGGUGCGUAACGCGUAUAGAACUUACCUUUUACAGAGGGAUAGCCUUUAGAAAUGAAGAUUAAUACCUCAUAGUAUUGAGAAUUGGCAUCAAUUUUUAAUUAAAGAUUUAUCGGUAAAAGAUAGCUAUGCGUCCUAUUAGUUAGAUGGUAAGGUAACGGCUUACCAUGGCGAUGAUAGGUAGGGGUCCUGAGAGGGAGAUCCCCCACACUGGUACUGAGACACGGACCAGACUCCUACGGGAGCAGCAGUGAGGAAUAUUGGUCAAUGGGUGAGAGCCUGAACCAGCCAUGCCGCGUGCAGGAAGACUGCCCUAUGGGUUGUAAACUGCUUUUUUAUACAGGAAGAAACACUCGGACGUGUCCGAGCUUGACGGUACUGUAAGAAUAAGCACCGGCUAAC